This 515-nucleotide ribosomal RNA is filed under the name uncultured bacterium. RNAcentral's name for it is "partial 16S ribosomal RNA". It matches the Rfam family "Bacterial small subunit ribosomal RNA", at positions 28 to 523 of the family's 1533-position model. The record is from RNAcentral.
GACGAACGCUGGCGGCGUGCCUAAUACAUGCAAGUCGAGCGGAUGACGGAGGAGCUUGCUCCUCCUGAUUCAGCGGCGGACGGGUGAGUAACACGUGGGCAACCUGCCCUGUAGAUUGGGAUAACUCCGGGAAACCGGGGCUAAUACCGAAUAAUCCUUCGGACCUCAUGGUCCGAUGUUGAAAGACGGCAUCUCGCUGUCACUACAGGAUGGGCCCGCGGCGCAUUAGCUAGUUGGUGAGGUAACGGCUCACCAAGGCCACGAUGCGUAGCCGACCGGAGAGGGUGAUCGGCCACACUGGGACUGAGACACGGCCCAGACUCCUACGGGAGGCAGCAGUAGGGAAUCUUCCACAAUGGACGAAAGUCUGAUGGAGCAACGCCGCGUGAGUGAAGAAGGUUCUCGGAUCGUAAAACUCUGUUGUGAGGGAAGAACAAGUACCGGAGUAACUGCCGGUGCCUUGACGGUACCUCAUUAGAAGGCCACGGCUAACUACGUGCCAGCCGCCGCCGUAA